RNAcentral lists this ribosomal RNA (460 nucleotides) under uncultured bacterium. Its description in RNAcentral is "partial 16S ribosomal RNA". It matches the Rfam family "Bacterial small subunit ribosomal RNA", at positions 338 to 795 of the family's 1533-position model. The record is from RNAcentral.
CCUACGGGAGGCAGCAGUGAGGAAUAUUGGUCAAUGGGCGUAAGCCUGAACCAGCCAAGUCGCGUGAGGGAUGAAGGUUCUAUGGAUCGUAAACCUCUUUUAUAAGGGAAUAAAGUGUGGGACGUGUCCUGUUUUGUAUGUACCUUAUGAAUAAGGAUCGGCUAACUCCGUGCCAGCAGCCGCGGUAAUACGGAGGAUCCGAGCGUUAUCCGGAUUUAUUGGGUUUAAAGGGUGCGUAGGCGGCCUUUUAAGUCAGCGGUGAAAGUCUGUGGCUCAACCAUAGAAUUGCCGUGUAAACUGGGAGGCUUGAGUAUGUUUGAGGAAGGCGGAAUGCGUGGUGUAGCGGUGAAAUGCUUAGAUAUCACGCAGAACCCCGAUGGCGAAGGCAGCCUGCCAAGCCAUGACUGACGCUGAUGCACGAAAGCGUGGGGAUCAAACAGGAUUAGAUACCCGGGUAGUC